CUUGCUUCUCUUGAGAGCGGCGGACGGGUGAGUAAUGCCUAGGAAUCUGCCUGGUAGUGGGGGAUAACGUUCGGAAACGGACGCUAAUACCGCAUACGUCCUACGGGAGAAAGCAGGGGACCUUCGGGCCUUGCGCUAUCAGAUGAGCCUAGGUCGGAUUAGCUAGUUGGUGGGGUAAUGGCUCACCAAGGCGACGAUCCGUAACUGGUCUGAGAGGAUGAUCAGUCACACUGGAACUGAGACACGGUCCAGACUCCUACGGGAGGCAGCAGUGGGGAAUAUUGGACAAUGGGCGAAAGCCUGAUCCAGCCAUGCCGCGUGUGUGAAGAAGGUCUUCGGAUUGUAAAGCACUUUAAGUUGGGAGGAAGGGUUGUAGAUUAAUACUCUGCAAUUUUGACGUUACCGACAGAAUAAGCACCGGCUAACUCUGUGCCAGCAGCCGCGGUAAUACAGAGGGUGCAAGCGUUAAUCGGAAUUACUGGGCGUAAAGCGCGCGUAGGUGGUUUGUUAAGUUGGAUGUGAAAUCCCCGGGCUCAACCUGGGAACUGCAUUCAAAACUGACUGACUAGAGUAUGGUAGAGGGUGGUGGAAUUUUCCUGUGUAGCGGUGAAAUGCGUAGAUAUAGGAAGGAACACCAGUGGCGAAAGCGACCACCUGGACUAAUACUGACACUGAGGUGCGAAAGCGUGGGGAGCAAACAGGAUUAGAUACCCUGGUAGUCCACGCCGUAAACGAUGUCAACUAGCCGUUGGAAGCCUUGAGCUUUUAGUGGCGCAGCUUAACGCAUUUAAGUUGACCGGCCUGGGGGAAGUA
Molecule: ribosomal RNA, 813 nt
Filed under: uncultured bacterium
Lineage: Bacteria
Description: bacterial SSU rRNA
Rfam family: Bacterial small subunit ribosomal RNA
Source: RNAcentral